GAUGAACUCUGACAGAAUGCUUAACACAUGCAAGUCAACUGUGGCGGACGGGUGAGUAACGCGUAAAGAACUUGCCUCACAGAUAGGGACAACAUUUGGAAACGAAUGCUAAUACCUGAUACUGUGAGAGAGCUUUGCGUCCCAUUAGCUAGUUGGAGAGGUAACGGCUCACCAAGGCGAUGAUGGGUAGCCGGCCUGAGAGGGUGAUCGGCCACAAGGGGACAGGGACAAGGCCCUAACCCAUACGGGGGGCAGGAGUGGGGAAUGUAGGACAAUGGACAAAAGUCUGAGCCAGCAAUUCUGUGGGCACGAUGAAGUUUUCGGGAUGUAAAGUGCUUUCGGUUGGGAAGCGGUACCAACAGAAGAAGUGACGGCUAAAUACGUGCCAGCAGCCGCGGUAAUAC
Molecule: ribosomal RNA, 404 nt
Filed under: uncultured bacterium
Lineage: Bacteria
Description: partial 16S ribosomal RNA
Rfam family: Bacterial small subunit ribosomal RNA
Source: RNAcentral